RNAcentral lists this unclassified non-coding RNA (935 nucleotides) under uncultured fungus. RNAcentral's name for it is "sequence contains 18S rRNA gene, ITS1, 5.8S rRNA gene, ITS2, 28S rRNA gene". Lineage: Eukaryota; Fungi. The record is from RNAcentral.
UCCGUAGGUCACCGGUCCUCCCCGGGUCUGGUAAGGCACAAGCACCCUCGUGUUAGGCCAGAUCGGCUCGCCCAGCGGGCCCCAUUGUUCCACGGCGAGAGGAGAGUCAAUGCAAGGCACGUUGCUGCGUCCAGUUCAGCCCGCCCGCCUGGAGCUCGCGCUCCUCGAUCCGCAGCUAGCUCGCGAGUCGCGUCACCGAGCGGAUGUGCGGGGCUCCUAAACCGAAGAGUCGAUGGGCGAGCUCGAGCUCAUGUUGCACCCGUCGCCCGCUGACAGCGAUGAGGACCUCUACUUUGCUGAGAUCCGCUUCCAAUCGCGAGACGGCGUAGCUGUCUGGAUCGAGCUCUUCCUUCAAGACGUGGACGAAUCCGCCUCUGAUGAGCAACGCACCACCGCAAACGCUCGCGUCAUGACACGAAUGUGGGUCGAUGGUGACGAGCAACAUGACUUCUCAUACGACUCAGUGAUUGCCAUCCUCGAGAAGGCGAAAGCGGCCGUCCUUGAAGGUGAGCAGUGCUGACACCGCAUUAGCGUGUGUUCAGCCCGCAAGCCUCGACCUCCCGCGCCUCGAUCCGCAGCUUCGCUACGCCGACAGUACGACGAGACCUGUCCAGCCGCGGUGGGAAGAGCGCCCUAGUAGGCGACCUCGCCGGUGAGGAGCUCGACUCCGGUCUUGUCUUCGUCGUUCUCGUCGACCGAGAACUCGCCGUCGCCCUCGAGACCCGUGAAGUCUUCGAUUGCAUCGACGACUUGCCAUGGGGUUUUCUCCCCUUCUUCGCGCGGAAGCGUGAUGAGGGCCGUGAAGUUCCCUUCCCGCGAGCCGUCGGUACAGCUGAACGUCUUCUCGAUUUCUUGGCUACCAGCGCUGUCAACGCCGGGGCUAUCAACGAAUGUGCCCGUUGCGCAGCCAAGGGCGUCAGCGCCCUCGGUCACCU